AUUGAACGCUGGCGGCAGGCCUAACACAUGCAAGUCGAGCGAGCGGCGGAAGGGUGAGUAAUGUCUGGGAAACUGCCUGAUGGAGGGGGAUAACUACUGGAAACGGUAGCUAAUACCGCAUACCAUCAGAUGUGCCCAGGUGGGAUUAGCUAGUAGGUGGGGUAACGGCUCACCUAGGCGACGAGCCCUAGCUGGUCUGAGAGGAUGACCAGCCACAUUGGAACGGAGACACGGGCCAGACUCUUACGUGAGGCAGCAGGGGGGAAUAUUGCACAAUGGGCGCAAGCCUGAUGCAUCCAGGCCGCGUGGGUGAAGAAGGCCGUCGGGUUGUAAAGCACUUUCAGCGGGGAGGCGUUACCCGCAGAAGAAGCACCGGCUAACUCCGUGCCAGCAGCCGCGGUAAUUC
Molecule: ribosomal RNA, 406 nt
Filed under: uncultured bacterium
Lineage: Bacteria
Description: partial 16S ribosomal RNA
Rfam family: Bacterial small subunit ribosomal RNA
Source: RNAcentral